GUCGAACGAUGAAGCCCAGCUUGCUGGGUGGAUUAGUGGCGAACGGGUGAGUAACACGUGAGUAACCUGCCCUUAACUCUGGGAUAAGCCUGGGAAACUGGGUCUAAUACCGGAUAGGAGCGUCCACCGCAUGGUGGGUGUUGGAAAGAUUUAUCGGUUUUGGAUGGACUCGCGGCCUAUCAGCUUGUUGGUGAGGUAAUGGCUCACCAAGGCGACGACGGGUAGCCGGCCUGAGAGGGUGACCGGCCACACUGGGACUGAGACACGGCCCAGACUCCUACGGGAGGCAGCAGUGGGGAAUAUUGCACAAUGGGCGCAAGCCUGAUGCAGCGACGCCGCGUGAGGGAUGACGGCCUUCGGGUUGUAAACCUCUUUCAGUAGGGAAGAAGCGAAAGUGACGGUACCUGCAGAAGAAGCACCGGCUAACUACGUGCCAGCAGCCGCGGUAAUACGUAGGGUGCGAGCGUUAUCCGGAAUUAUUGGGCGUAAAGAGCUCGUAGGCGGUUUGUCGCGUCUGUCGUGAAAGUCCGGGGCUUAACCCCGGAUCUGCGGUGGGUACGGGCAGACUAGAGUGCAGUAGGGGAGACUGGAAUUCCUGGUGUAGCGGUGGAAUGCGCAGAUAUCAGGAGGAACACCGAUGGCGAAGGCAGGUCUCUGGGCUGUAACUGACGCUGAGGAGCGAAAGCAUGGGGAGCGAACAGGAUUAGAUACCCUGGUAGUCCAUGCCGUAAACGUUGGGCACUAGGUGUGGGGACCAUUCCACGGUUUCCGCGCCGCAGCUAACGCAUUAAG
Molecule: ribosomal RNA, 792 nt
Rfam family: Bacterial small subunit ribosomal RNA